This 446-nucleotide ribosomal RNA is filed under the name uncultured bacterium. Its description in RNAcentral is "partial 16S ribosomal RNA". It matches the Rfam family "Bacterial small subunit ribosomal RNA", at positions 338 to 795 of the family's 1533-position model. The record is from RNAcentral.
CCUACGGGAGGCAGCAGUAGGGAAUUUUCGGCAAUGGGGGGAACCCUGACCGAGCAACGCCGCGUGAACGAAGAAGUUAUUCGUAAUGUAAAGUUCUUUUAACAGGGAAGAAAGAGAAAUUUGACGGUACCUGAAGAAUAAGCUCCGGCUAACUACGUGCCAGCAGCCGCGGUAAUACGUAGGGAGCGAGCGUUAUCCGGAAUUAUUGGGCGUAAAGGGUGCGUAGGCGGAAGAUCAAGUCAGCGGUAAAAUUGAGAGGCUCAACCUCUUCGAGCCGUUGAAACUGGUUUUCUUGAGUGAGCGAGAAGUAUGCGGAAUGCGUGGUGUAGCGGUGAAAUGCAUAGAUAUCACGCAGAACUCCGAUUGCGAAGGCAGCAUACCGGCGCUCAACUGACGCUCAUGCACGAAAGUGUGGGUAUCGAACAGGAUUAGAUACCCUUGUAGUC